Molecule: ribosomal RNA, 489 nt
Filed under: uncultured bacterium
Lineage: Bacteria
Description: partial 16S ribosomal RNA
Rfam family: Bacterial small subunit ribosomal RNA
Source: RNAcentral
GACGAACGCUGGCGGCGUGCUUAACACAUGCAAGUCGAACGGAAAGGCCCCCAUCUUGGUGGGGGUGCUCGAGUGGCGAACGGGUGAGUAACACGUGGGUGAUCUGCCCUGUACUUCGGGAUAAGCUUGGGAAACUGGGUCUAAUACCGGAUAGGACCAUGGUUUAGUGUCUCAUGGUGGAAAGAUUAUUGUUUUGGUGCAGGAUGAGCUCGCGGCCUAUCAGCUUGUUGGUGGGGUAAUGGCCUACCAAGGCGUCGACGGGUAGCCGGCCUGAGAGGGUGGACGGCCACAUUGGGACUGAGAUACGGCCCAGACUCCUACGGGAGGCAGCAGGGGGGAAUAUUGCACAAUGGGCGCAAGCCUGAGGCAGCGACGCCGCGUGGGGGAUGACGGCCGUCGGGUGGUAAACUCCUUUCGUUAGGGACGAAGCCGCACUUUUUUUGGGUGUGGUGACGGUACCUUUGUUAAGAAGCACCGGCUAACUACGUG